This 1239-nucleotide long non-coding RNA is filed under the name Mytilus galloprovincialis (Mediterranean mussel). Lineage: Eukaryota; Metazoa; Mollusca; Bivalvia; Mytilida; Mytilidae. The record is from RNAcentral.
GGAGUUAUUGCCGUUAUAAACAUAGUUUAGGUAUUUUUUGUAAUAACUUAAAUAGAUAGAGGGAAAUUGUUUAGCAAAAUGUUCAUCAAAUCGAAAUUGUUAAUUGAAAGAGUUAAUUCCCUUGCAAGAUGAUUUUUGUCCAUUUCUGCAGAAACCAUGGUGGAUAGAGAGAAAUAGUGAAUAAUGAAAUGUUCAUCAUGAUAAUUGAAUAGACAUUAUGGAUUCAAAGUAAAUGUAGAAUACGGUGCACACAGGACUUGGCUUAGUAUAUAUGCAUGCAUUUGUUCAGUUAACUUUCUCAACAUUAAAAUCACCAGGACUGGUUUCAAAUGACUAAUGAUUUGCACCUCUGUCUUUUGAAACAGACUGACUACAGGACUGUUACAUUAGAUAUUUUUAAAGUUCUAUUUUUCUUUGAUUUGCACAGACAUGACAGUAUAUCCUUGUGGUGCCAUACUUCAUAAAUUUAAUUGUAAAUAAAAGCUCUAUCUGUAACAUGAUAGUAACUCCUUGUAAAUAAAAGCAAUUUCCUGAUAAGAACAUGAUACCAUUUCGUUGUAAAUGAUACUUAUGCCUGUAAAUGUAUGAUAAAAUGUAUGGCAGAAUUUUGUUCUGUUUUACGGAUCAAAGGUUUCCCCACAAAGUGGUCAGUAGCUUAAGGAUUUUCUCAGCUUCAUUGGUGCAGGAAAAGUGGUACAUUCCACUAGUACUUUUUUAAACAGAUUUUCACACAAAGAUAUAUGAAAUGUAUUGAUGGUAGUAAUUUUUCACUUUAAGAGGAUGAGACAAAACCAUAUAAUAUAUAUCUGUGCUAACAGUGCUUAAAUUAUUUCAUAAAAAAAAAAGUAUUGGCUUAAAGUUGUAUAAUACCAUAUGCUGUUACAUAAAACCAUAGGGUCAUUAGAUAUAACCACAAUGAUUAUGUACAAUGUGUCUAUGUUUGACAAUCACACUGUCAAAUAUCCAGUUUUCUACCUUGUCAUACCUCCCAUAAAAAUUAAUUGGAUGGCAAUCAUAUAAAUAGACAUUAAUCUGUAGGACUGCAGUUAUAUUUAAUCAGCAUUAUCACUGUUAAUCAGAGUCAUUAGAUUAUUGUUCAUGUGAAUUUUAUCAAUAUGUAAGCUAUGAAGAUUUUUACCCCUAAAAUAUACUAACAUAUAUGAUCGAUCAAUUGAUUGGUAUAUGCUUAAUGUCCAGUGUUAAUAUAUGACUUGAAAAAAAUGUUUAACAUAACAACCA